This 465-nucleotide ribosomal RNA is filed under the name uncultured bacterium. Its description in RNAcentral is "partial 16S ribosomal RNA". It matches the Rfam family "Bacterial small subunit ribosomal RNA", at positions 28 to 506 of the family's 1533-position model. The record is from RNAcentral.
GAUGAACGCUGGCGGCGCGCUUAACACAUGCAAGUCGAACGGAAAGGCUCCUGCUUGCAGGGGUACUCGAGUGGCGAACGGGUGAGUAACACGUGGGUGAUCUGCCCUGCACUUCGGGAUAAGCUUGGGAAACUGGGUCUAAUACAGGAUAGGACCGCAUUUUGGAUGGUGUGGUGGAAAGUUUUUUCGGUGUGGGAUGAGCUCGCGGCCUAUCAGCUUGUUGGUGGGGUAAUGGCCUACCAAGGCGUCGACGGGUAGCCGGCCUGGGAGGGUGUACGGCCACAUUGGGACUGAGAUACGGCCCAGACUCCUCCGGGAGGCAGCGGUGGGGAAUAUUGCACAAUGGGCGCAAGCCUGAUGCAGCGACGCCGCGUGGGGGAUGACGGCCUUCGGGUUGUAAACUCCUUUCGCUAGGGACGAAGAGUAAUGGACGGUACCUGGAGAAGAAGCACCGGCUAACUACGU